CCUACGGGAGGCAGCAGUGAGGAAUAUUGGUCAAUGGGCGCUAGCCUGAACCAGCCAAGUCGCGUGAAGGAUGACUGCCCUCUGGGUUGUAAACUUCUUUUAUAUGGGAAUAAAGUGCAGUAUGUAUACUGCUUUGCAUGUACCUUAUGAAUAAGGAUCGGCUAAUUCCGUGCCAGCAGCCGCGGUACUACGUUGGUGGCGAGCGUUAUCCGGAAUGAUUGGGCGUAAAGGGUGCGCAGGCGGUCCUGCAAGUCUGGAGUGAAACGAAUGAGCUCAACACAUGCAGGGCAUUGGAAACUGGAGGACUGGAGAGCAGGAGAGGGCGGUGGAACUCCAGGUGUAGCGGUAAAAUGCGUAGAUAUAUGGAAGAACACCAGUGGCGAAGGCGGCCGCCUGGCCUGUUGCUGACGCUGAGGCACGAAAGCGUGGGGAGCAAAUAGGAUUAGAUACCCCAGUAGUC
RNAcentral lists this ribosomal RNA (460 nucleotides) under uncultured bacterium. Its description in RNAcentral is "partial 16S ribosomal RNA". It matches the Rfam family "Bacterial small subunit ribosomal RNA", at positions 338 to 795 of the family's 1533-position model. The record is from RNAcentral.